RNAcentral lists this ribosomal RNA (393 nucleotides) under uncultured bacterium. Its description in RNAcentral is "partial 16S ribosomal RNA". It matches the Rfam family "Bacterial small subunit ribosomal RNA", at positions 523 to 918 of the family's 1533-position model. The record is from RNAcentral.
AUACGGAGGAUGCGAGCGUUAUCCGGAUUUAUUGGGUUUAAAGGGUGCGUAGGUGGUAGAUUAAGUCAGCGGUGAAAGUUUGUCGCUCAACGAUAAAAUUGCAGUUGAUACUGGUUUCCUUGAGUACGGUAUAGGUGGGCGGAAUUCGUGGUGUAGCGGUGAAAUGCUUAGACAUCACGAAGAACUCCGAUCGCGAAGGUAGCUCACCGGGCCGGAACUGACACUGAUGCUCGAAAGUGCGGGUAUCAAACAGGAUUAGAUACCCUGGUAGUCCGCACAGUAAACGAUGAAUACUCGCUGUUUGCGAUACACUGUAAGCGGCCAAGCGAAAGCGUUAAGUAUUCCACCUGGGGAGUACGCCGGCAACGGUGAAACUUAAAGGAAUUGACGGGG